CCUACGGGGGGCUGCAGUGGGGAAUAUUGCACAAUGGGGGAAACCCUGAUGCAGCAACGCCGCGUGAGCGAUGAAGGCCUUCGGGUCGUAAAGCUCUGUUGUCAGGGAAGAACAAGUACCGGAGUAACUGCCGGUACCUUGACGGUACCUGACCAGAAAGCCACGGCUAACUACGUGCCAGCAGCCGCGGUAAUACGUAGGUGGCAAGCGUUGUCCGGAACUAUUGGGCGUAAAGCGCGCGCAGGCGGUCCCUUAAGUCUGAUGUGAAAGCACCCGGCUUAACCGGGGAGGGUCAUUGGAAACUGGGGGACUUGAGUGCAGAAGAGAAGAGCGGAAUUCCACGUGUAGCGGUGAAAUGCGUAGAGAUGUGGAGGAACACCAGUGGCGAAGGAGGCUCUUUGGUCUGUAACUGACGCUGAGGCGCGAAAGCGUGGGGAGCAAACAGGAUUAGAUACCCGAGUAGUC
RNAcentral lists this ribosomal RNA (465 nucleotides) under uncultured bacterium. RNAcentral describes it as "bacterial SSU rRNA". It matches the Rfam family "Bacterial small subunit ribosomal RNA", at positions 338 to 795 of the family's 1533-position model. The record is from RNAcentral.